GAAGCAGUUUACAGGGUCAAUGUAGGAUGGUUUUAAUGUUAAACCAUAUAGUCUCGUCCUCAAUAAGGUCGUGCAACAUACAACCACGCAAGCCUGGUAUUGACCUUGAUACUACUCCUACCUGGUAGAAGAACCUGAAAGUACAUUUGACUGAGAAUAGAUGUUCUCUUCAUUGCAUUAUUAUGAAGGA
This is a long non-coding RNA of Magnolia sinica, 190 nucleotides long. RefSeq lists it as uncharacterized. The record is from RefSeq and is a predicted model, not a curated record. Lineage: Eukaryota; Viridiplantae; Streptophyta; Magnoliopsida; Magnoliales; Magnoliaceae. The transcript has 3 exons.